RNAcentral lists this transfer RNA (76 nucleotides) under Gottschalkia purinilytica. RNAcentral's name for it is "tRNA-Thr". It matches the Rfam family "tRNA". Rfam says of the family: Transfer RNA (tRNA) molecules are approximately 80 nucleotides in length. The record is from RNAcentral. Lineage: Bacteria; Bacillati; Bacillota; Tissierellia; Tissierellales; Gottschalkiaceae.
GCCCACGUAGCUCAGUAGGUGGAGCACUUGCAUGGUAAGCAAGAGGUCACCGGUUCAAGUCCGGUCGUGGGCUCCA